GCCGGGCAUGGUGGCGCAUGCCUGUAAUCCCAGCUACUUAGGAGGCUGAGGCAGGAGAAUCGCUUGAAUCCAGAAGGCAGAGGUUGUAGUGAGCUGAAUCACACCACUGCACUCCAGCCUGGGUGACAGAGCGAGACUCUGUCUCAA
RNAcentral lists this non-coding RNA (147 nucleotides) under Nomascus leucogenys (northern white-cheeked gibbon). Lineage: Eukaryota; Metazoa; Chordata; Mammalia; Primates; Hylobatidae. The record is from Rfam by way of RNAcentral.